Molecule: ribosomal RNA, 2904 nt
Filed under: Escherichia coli O157:H7 str. EC508
Lineage: Bacteria; Pseudomonadati; Pseudomonadota; Gammaproteobacteria; Enterobacterales; Enterobacteriaceae
Description: bacterial LSU rRNA
Rfam family: Bacterial large subunit ribosomal RNA
Source: RNAcentral
GGUUAAGCGACUAAGCGUACACGGUGGAUGCCCUGGCAGUCAGAGGCGAUGAAGGACGUGCUAAUCUGCGAUAAGCGUCGGUAAGGUGAUAUGAACCGUUAUAACCGGCGAUUUCCGAAUGGGGAAACCCAGUGUGAUUCGUCACACUAUCAUUAACUGAAUCCAUAGGUUAAUGAGGCGAACCGGGGGAACUGAAACAUCUAAGUACCCCGAGGAAAAGAAAUCAACCGAGAUUCCCCCAGUAGCGGCGAGCGAACGGGGAGGAGCCCAGAGCCUGAAUCAGUGUGUGUGUUAGUGGAAGCGUCUGGAAAGGCGCGCGAUACAGGGUGACAGCCCCGUACACAAAAAUGCACAUGCUGUGAGCUCGAUGAGUAGGGCGGGACACGUGGUAUCCUGUCUGAAUAUGGGGGGACCAUCCUCCAAGGCUAAAUACUCCUGACUGACCGAUAGUGAACCAGUACCGUGAGGGAAAGGCGAAAAGAACCCCGGCGAGGGGAGUGAAAAAGAACCUGAAACCGUGUACGUACAAGCAGUGGGAGCACAGAGCAAUCUGUGUGACUGCGUACCUUUUGUAUAAUGGGUCAGCGACUUAUAUUCUGUAGCAAGGUUAACCGAAUAGGGGAGCCGAAGGGAAACCGAGUCUUAACUGGGCGUUAAGUUGCAGGGUAUAGACCCGAAACCCGGUGAUCUAGCCAUGGGCAGGUUGAAGGUUGGGUAACACUAACUGGAGGACCGAACCGACUAAUGUUGAAAAAUUAGCGGAUGACUUGUGGCUGGGGGUGAAAGGCCAAUCAAACCGGGAGAUAGCUGGUUCUCCCCGAAAGCUAUUUAGGUAGCGCCUCGUGAAUUCAUCUCCGGGGGUAGAGCACUGUUUCGGCAAGGGGGUCAUCCCGACUUACCAACCCGAUGCAAACUGCGAAUACCGGAGAAUGUUAUCACGGGAGACACACGGCGGGUGCUAACGUCCGUCGUGAAGAGGGAAACAACCCAGACCGCCAGCUAAGGUCCCAAAGUCAUGGUUAAGUGGGAAACGAUGUGGGAAGGCCCAGACAGCCAGGAUGUUGGCUUAGAAGCAGCCAUCAUUUAAAGAAAGCGUAAUAGCUCACUGGUCGAGUCGGCCUGCGCGGAAGAUGUAACGGGGCUAAACCAUGCACCGAAGCUGCGGCAGCGACACUGUGUGUUGUUGGGUAGGGGAGCGUUCUGUAAGCCUGUGAAGUGUGCUGUGAGGCAUGCUGGAGGUAUCAGAAGUGCGAAUGCUGACAUAAGUAACGAUAAAGCGGGUGAAAAGCCCGCUCGCCGGAAGACCAAGGGUUCCUGUCCAACGUUAAUCGGGGCAGGGUGAGUCGACCCCUAAGGCGAGGCCGAAAGGCGUAGUCGAUGGGAAACAGGUUAAUAUUCCUGUACUUGGUGUUACUGCGAAGGGGGGACGGAGAAGGCUAUGUUGGCCGGGCGACGGUUGUCCCGGUUUAAGCGUGUAGGCUGGUUUUCCAGGCAAAUCCGGAAAAUCAAGGCUGAGGCGUGAUGACGAGGCACUACGGUGCUGAAGCAACAAAUGCCCUGCUUCCAGGAAAAGCCUCUAAGCAUCAGGUAACAUCAAAUCGUACCCCAAACCGACACAGGUGGUCAGGUAGAGAAUACCAAGGCGCUUGAGAGAACUCGGGUGAAGGAACUAGGCAAAAUGGUGCCGUAACUUCGGGAGAAGGCACGCUGAUAUGUAGGUGAAGUCCCUCGCGGAUGGAGCUGAAAUCAGUCGAAGAUACCAGCUGGCUGCAACUGUUUAUUAAAAACACAGCACUGUGCAAACACGAAAGUGGACGUAUACGGUGUGACGCCUGCCCGGUGCCGGAAGGUUAAUUGAUGGGGUCAGCGCAAGCGAAGCUCUUGAUCGAAGCCCCGGUAAACGGCGGCCGUAACUAUAACGGUCCUAAGGUAGCGAAAUUCCUUGUCGGGUAAGUUCCGACCUGCACGAAUGGCGUAAUGAUGGCCAGGCUGUCUCCACCCGAGACUCAGUGAAAUUGAACUCGCUGUGAAGAUGCAGUGUACCCGCGGCAAGACGGAAAGACCCCGUGAACCUUUACUAUAGCUUGACACUGAACAUUGAGCCUUGAUGUGUAGGAUAGGUGGGAGGCUUUGAAGUGUGGACGCCAGUCUGCAUGGAGCCGACCUUGAAAUACCACCCUUUAAUGUUUGAUGUUCUAACGUGGACCCGUGAUCCGGGUUGCGGACAGUGUCUGGUGGGUAGUUUGACUGGGGCGGUCUCCUCCUAAAGAGUAACGGAGGAGCACGAAGGUUGGCUAAUCCUGGUCGGACAUCAGGAGGUUAGUGCAAUGGCAUAAGCCAGCUUGACUGCGAGCGUGACGGCGCGAGCAGGUGCGAAAGCAGGUCAUAGUGAUCCGGUGGUUCUGAAUGGAAGGGCCAUCGCUCAACGGAUAAAAGGUACUCCGGGGAUAACAGGCUGAUACCGCCCAAGAGUUCAUAUCGACGGCGGUGUUUGGCACCUCGAUGUCGGCUCAUCACAUCCUGGGGCUGAAGUAGGUCCCAAGGGUAUGGCUGUUCGCCAUUUAAAGUGGUACGCGAGCUGGGUUUAGAACGUCGUGAGACAGUUCGGUCCCUAUCUGCCGUGGGCGCUGGAGAACUGAGGGGGGCUGCUCCUAGUACGAGAGGACCGGAGUGGACGCAUCACUGGUGUUCGGGUUGUCAUGCCAAUGGCACUGCCCGGUAGCUAAAUGCGGAAGAGAUAAGUGCUGAAAGCAUCUAAGCACGAAACUUGCCCCGAGAUGAGUUCUCCCUGACCCUUUAAGGGUCCUGAAGGAACGUUGAAGACGACGACGUUGAUAGGCCGGGUGUGUAAGCGCAGCGAUGCGUUGAGCUAACCGGUACUAAUGAACCGUGAGGCUUAACCUU